Molecule: ribosomal RNA, 497 nt
Filed under: uncultured bacterium
Lineage: Bacteria
Description: partial 16S ribosomal RNA
Rfam family: Bacterial small subunit ribosomal RNA
Source: RNAcentral
GACGAACGCUGGCGGCGUGCCUAAUACAUGCAAGUAGAACGCUGAAACUUGGUGCUUGCACCGAGCGGAUGAGUUGCGAACGGGUGAGUAACGCGUAGGUAACCUGCCUGGUAGCGGGGGAUAACUAUUGGAAACGAUAGCUAAUACCGCAUAAGAGUAGAUGUUGCAUGACAUUUGCUUAAAAGGUGCAAUUGCACCACUACCAGAUGGACCUGCGUUGUAUUAGGUAGUUGGUGGGGUAACGGCUCACCAAGGCGACGAUACAUAGCCGACCUGAGAGGGUGAUCGGCCAAACUGGGACUGGGACACGGGCCAGACUCCUACGGGAGGCAGCAGUAGGGAAACUUCGGCAAUGGACGGAAGUCUGACCGAGCAACGCCGCGUGAGGGAAGGAGGGUUUCGGAUCGUAAAGCUCUGUUGUAAGGGAAGAACGAGUGUGAGAGUGGAAAGUUCACACUGUGACGGUAUCUUACCAGAAAGGGACGGCUAACUACGUG